This 653-nucleotide ribosomal RNA is filed under the name uncultured Methanomicrobiales archaeon. RNAcentral's name for it is "bacterial SSU rRNA". It matches the Rfam family "Archaeal small subunit ribosomal RNA", at positions 367 to 1030 of the family's 1478-position model. Lineage: Archaea; Methanobacteriati; Methanobacteriota; Methanomicrobia; Methanomicrobiales. The record is from RNAcentral.
GUGAUAAGGGAACUCCGAGUGUCUGUAAAUUCGGACUGUCCGUAUGUUUAAAAAGCAUACGAAGAAAGGGCCGGGCAAGACCGGUGCCAGCCGCCGCGGUAAUACCGGCGGCUCGAGUGGUGGCCACUAUUACUGGGCUUAAAGCGUUCGUAGCUUGGUUGUUAAGUCUCUUGGGAAAUCUAUCGGCUUAACCGAUAGGCGUCCAGGGGAUACUGGCAAUCUAGGGACCGGGAGAGGUGAGGGGUACUUCAGGGGUAGGAGUGAAAUCCUGUAAUCCUUGGGGGACCACCUGUGGCGAAGGCGCCUCACCAGAACGGCUCCGACAGUGAGGGACGAAAGCUGGGGGAGCAAACCGGAUUAGAUACCCGGGUAGUCCCAGCCGUAAACGAUGCACGUUAGGUGUAUCGAUGACCACGAGUCAUCGAGGUGCCGAAGGGAAACCGUGAAACGUGCCGCCUGGGAAGUACGGUCGCAAGGCUGAAACUUAAAGGAAUUGGCGGGGGAGCACCACAACAGGUGGAGCCUGCGGUUUAAUCGGACUCAACGCCGGAAAUCUCACCGGAUAAGACAGCUGAAUGAUAGUCGGGCUGAAGACUCUACUUGACUAGCUGAGAGGUGGUGCAUGGCCAAGGGCGAAUUCGUUUAAACCUGCA